RNAcentral lists this ribosomal RNA (387 nucleotides) under uncultured bacterium. RNAcentral describes it as "bacterial SSU rRNA". It matches the Rfam family "Bacterial small subunit ribosomal RNA", at positions 28 to 416 of the family's 1533-position model. The record is from RNAcentral.
GAUGAACGCUAGCGGCGUGCCUAACACAUGCAAGUCGAACGUGAGAGGGUACUUGUAUCCUUGAAAGUGGCGGACGAGUGAGUAAGACGUAGGUGACCUGCCUUGAAGUGGGGGAUAACCAUUGGAAACGAUGGCUAAUACCGCAUAAGCUGGUGAUGAUGGGAAUCGUUAUCAGGAAAGCUUUAGUGCUUUGAGAGGGGCCUACGGCCGAUUAGCUAGUUGGUGAGGUAAAGGCUCACCAAGGCGAUGAUCGGUAGCUGGUCUGAGAGGGUGAUCGGCCACAUUGGAACUGAGACACGGUCCAAACUCCUACGGGAGGCAGCAGUGGGGAAUAUUGCACAAUGGGCGAAAGCCUGAUGCAGCAACGCCGCGUGAGCGAUGAAGGCC